AGGAUUAACGCUGGCGGCGUGCCUAACACAUGCAAGUCGAACGAGGUAGCAAUACCUAGUGGCAGACGGGUGAGUAACGCGUGGUCAACCUACCGUUGAGUGGGGGAUAACUAGCCGAAAGGUUAGCUAAUACCGCAUACGAGUCUCGGGGGCAUCCCUGAGCCUUAAAAGGAGCAAUCCGCUCGAUGACGGGACCGCGUCCCAUUAGCUAGAUGGUGGGGUAACGGCCUACCAUGGCACCGAUGGGUAGCUGGUUUGAGAGAGCGACCAGCCACACCCUGGGACUGAGAAACGGCCCAGACUCCUACGGGAGGCAGCAGUGAGGAAUUUUCCGCAAUGGGCGAAAGCCUGACGGAGCGACGCCGCGUGUGGGAAGAAGGCCUUCGGGUCGUAAACCACUGUCGAAGGGGACGAUAAUGACGGUACCCUUGGAGGAAGCCCCGGCUAACUACGUGCCAGCAGCCGC
This 466-nucleotide ribosomal RNA is filed under the name uncultured bacterium. Its description in RNAcentral is "SSU rRNA". It matches the Rfam family "Bacterial small subunit ribosomal RNA", at positions 26 to 518 of the family's 1533-position model. The record is from RNAcentral.